GGGGAAUAUUGCACAAUGGGCGAAAGCCUGAUGCAGCAACGCCGCGUGAGUGAUGAAGGUCUUCGGAUUGUAAAGCUCUGUCUUUUGGGACGAUAAUGACGGUACCAAAGGAGGAAGCCACGGCUAACUACGUGCCAGCAGCCGCGGUAAUACGUAGGUGGCGAGCGUUGUCCGGAUUUACUGGGCGUAAAGGGUGCGUAGGCGGAUGUUUAAGUGAGAUGUGAAAUACCCGGGCUUAACUUGGGUGCUGCAUUUCAAACUGGAUAUCUAGAGUGCAGGAGAGGAGAAUGGAAUUCCUAGUGUAGCGGUGAAAUGCGUAGAGAUUAGGAAGAACACCAGUGGCGAAGGCGAUUCUCUGGACUGUAACUGACGCUGAGGCACGAAAGCGUGGGUAGCAAACAGGAUUAGAUACCCUGGUAGUCCACGCCGUAAACGAUGAGUACUAGGUGUAGGAGGUAUCGACCCCUCUGUGCCGCAGUAAACACAUUAAGUACUCCGCCUGGGAAGUACGAUCGCAAGAUUAAAAAC
This 528-nucleotide ribosomal RNA is filed under the name uncultured bacterium. RNAcentral's name for it is "partial 16S ribosomal RNA". It matches the Rfam family "Bacterial small subunit ribosomal RNA", at positions 356 to 900 of the family's 1533-position model. The record is from RNAcentral.